GAUGAAGAACGUAGCGAAAUGCGAUAAGUAAUGUGAAUUGCAGAAUUCAGUGAAUCAUCGAGUCUUUGAACGCACAUUGCGCCCCCUGGUAUUCCGGGGGGCAUGCCUGUCCGAGCGUCAUUGCCGCCCUCAAGCCCGGCUUGUGUGUUGGGCCCCCGCCCCCCGGCUUCGGGGGGCGGGCCCGAAAGGCAGCGGCGGCACCGCGUCCGGUCCUCGAGCGUAUGGGGCUUCGUCACCCGCUCUGUAGGCCCGGCCGGCGCCCGCCGGCGACCCCAAUCAAUCUUUCCAGGUUGACCUCGGAUCAGGUAGGGAUACCCGCUGAACUUAAGCAUAUCAAUAAGCGGAGGA
This 348-nucleotide unclassified non-coding RNA is filed under the name soil metagenome. RNAcentral's name for it is "partial contains 5.8S ribosomal RNA, internal transcribed spacer 2, and large subunit ribosomal RNA". The stretch from base 1 to 120 matches the Rfam family "5.8S ribosomal RNA", at positions 35 to 154 of the family's 154-position model. The record is from RNAcentral.